This 751-nucleotide ribosomal RNA is filed under the name uncultured bacterium. RNAcentral describes it as "bacterial SSU rRNA". It matches the Rfam family "Bacterial small subunit ribosomal RNA", at positions 634 to 1397 of the family's 1533-position model. The record is from RNAcentral.
UAUCAGACUUGAGAGUGGUAGAGGAAGGUGGAAUUCCGCGUGUAGUGGUGAAAUGCGUAGAUAUGCGGAGGAACACCAGUGGCGAAAGCGGCCUUCUGGCCCAUUUCUGACGCUCAGACACGAAAGCUAAGGUAGCAAACGGGAUUAGAGACCCCGGUAGUCUUAGCUGUAAACGAUGUGAACUUAGUGUCGGUGGGGUUAAAUCCAUCGGUACUGAAGCUAACGCGAUAAGUUCACCACCUGGGGACUACGGCCGCAAGGUUAAAACUCAAAGGAAUUGACGGGGCCCCGCACAAGCAGCGGAGCGUGUGGUUUAAUUCGAUGUUACACGAAGAACCUUACCAGGGCUUGACAUGCAAGUGGUAGGAAACCGAAAGGUGACCGACCCCUCGGGGAGCUUGCACAGGUGCUGCAUGGCUGUCGUCAGCUCGUGUCGUGAGAUGUUCGGUUAAGUCCGCUAACGAGCGCAACCCUCGCUGUGUGUUAUACGUGUCACACGGAACUGCCGGUCUUAAGCCGGAGGAAGGUGGGGAUGACGUCAAGUCAGCAUGGCCUUUAUACCCUGGGCUACACACACGCUACAAUGGCCAACACAAUAGGUUGCUAAGCCGCGAGGUGGAGCCAAUCCAUAAAGUUGGUCUCAGUUCAGAUUGUAGGCUGCAACUCGCCUGCAUGAAGUCGGAGUUGCUAGUAAACGCAGGUCAGCUAUACUGCGUUGAAUACGUUCCCGGGGCUUGUACACACCGCCCGU